Molecule: non-coding RNA, 494 nt
Organism: Mus caroli (Ryukyu mouse)
Lineage: Eukaryota; Metazoa; Chordata; Mammalia; Rodentia; Muridae
Source: RefSeq, a predicted model, not a curated record
ACCAUGCUGGCUCAGAUUCAGGACCUAGAUUUGAUCCACUCCAACAUCUAUCCCAUCUAUGAACUGUUGGAGCUCAGGAAGGGGUUGAUUCAGGAGAUCAAACCUGCAGGAUCUCCAUGAUAAAUAGAAUAUCUAAGGACAGCCUAGGGGGAGGAGUAGCAAGCACUGAGGACAUAUAUGGAAGGACAGAGGGGUUUUGAAAUAUUGGGCACACUGACCCAUGGGAUCAUUCUGACUUAAAUCUUGGGUAACUAGGAGUAUUGGGGUACUUGAAAAUCAAUGAAGAUUCAGGCAUACAAUUCUGUGGAGAAAAAGCAUGCGCUAUGCAAGCCUGAAGACCUGAGUUCAAUCUCCUGAUUCCAGUUUGGAAGAGAACCAAUUCCUAGAAUUUGUCCUCUGACCUUUCCUCUUUAUUCUGUAACAUGCCCAUACCUGUACAUACAUAUUAAUAAAAUAAAACUGCAUAGAAAUAAAAAGCAAUAAAUAUUAACACU